UACGUAGGGGGCAAGCGUUAUCCGGAUUUACUGGGUGUAAAGGGAGCGUAGACGGUAUGGCAAGUCUGAAGUGAAAGCCCAGGGCUUAACCCUGGGACUGCUUUGGAAACUGUUAGACUAGAGUGCUGGAGAGGUAAGCGGAAUUCCUAGUGUAGCGGUGAAAUGCGUAGAUAUUAGGAGGAACACCAGUGGCGAAGGCGGCUUACUGGACAGUAACUGACGUUGAGGCUCGAAAGCGUGGGGAGCAAACAGG
RNAcentral lists this ribosomal RNA (253 nucleotides) under uncultured bacterium. RNAcentral's name for it is "partial 16S ribosomal RNA". It matches the Rfam family "Bacterial small subunit ribosomal RNA", at positions 524 to 776 of the family's 1533-position model. The record is from RNAcentral.